Molecule: ribosomal RNA, 530 nt
Filed under: uncultured bacterium
Lineage: Bacteria
Description: bacterial SSU rRNA
Rfam family: Bacterial small subunit ribosomal RNA
Source: RNAcentral
AAUAGAUACCCGGGUAGUCCACGCCGUAAACGAUGAGUGCUAAGUGUUAGAGGGUUUCCGCCCUUUAGUGCUGCAGCUAACGCAUUAAGCACUCCGCCUGGGGAGUACGGCCGCAAGGCUGAAACUCAAAGGAAUUGACGGGGGCCCGCACAAGCGGUGGAGCAUGUGGUUUAAUUCGAAGCAACGCGAAGAACCUUACCAGGUCUUGACAUCCUCUGCCAACCCUAGAGAUAGGGCGUUCCCCUUCGGGGGACAGAGUGACAGGUGGUGCAUGGUUGUCGUCAGCUCGUGUCGUGAGAUGUUGGGUUAAGUCCCGCAACGAGCGCAACCCUUGAUCUUAGUUGCCAGCAUUCAGUUGGGCACUCUAAGGUGACUGCCGGUGACAAACCGGAGGAAGGUGGGGAUGACGUCAAAUCAUCAUGCCCCUUAUGACCUGGGCUACACACGUGCUACAAUGGAUGGUACAAAGAGCUGCGAACCCGCGAGGGUAANCGAAUCUCAUAAAGCCAUUCUCGAGUUCGGAUUGUAGG